RNAcentral lists this ribosomal RNA (132 nucleotides) under Spermophilus dauricus (Daurian ground squirrel). Lineage: Eukaryota; Metazoa; Chordata; Mammalia; Rodentia; Sciuridae. The record is from RNAcentral.
AGCCAUACCACCCUGAACGCGCCCGAUCUCGUCUGAUCUCGGAAGCUAAGCAGGGUCGGGCCUGGUUAGUACUUGGAUGGGAGGAACUUAAUUAUGACAAGGGUCUUUUAGAUGGGGGUAUCUGGUCGGCUU